GGCGGCGUGCCUAACACAUGCAAGUCGAGCGUGAAAGUCCUUCGGGAUGAGUAAAGCGGCGGACGGGUGAGUAACGCGUGAGAAUUUCCCUUUUAGUGGAGAAUACCUUUGAGAAAUCAAAGUUAAUACUGCAUAAGUCUCGAAAGAGAGAAAGAUGGCCUAAUUGCUGUCGCUAGAAGAUAAGCUUGCGUUCUAUUAGUUAGUUGGUGAGGUAAUGGCCCACCAAGACGAUGAUGGAUAGCCGGCCUGAGAGGGCGAACGGCCACAUUGGAACUUAGACACGGUCCAAACUCCUACGGGAGGCAGCAGUGAGGAAUAUUGCACAAUGGGCGAAAGCCUGAUGCAGCGACGCCGCGUGGAGGAUGACGGUCUUCGGAUUGUAAACUCCUGUUAAGUGUGAAAAAAGAACGAUCUUUAAUAGAGAUCGGUGAUGAUGGUAACACUAGGGAAAGCACCGGCUAACUUCGUGCCAGCAGCCGCGGUAAUACGANGGGUGCAAACGUUAUUCGGAAUCACUGGGCGU
RNAcentral lists this ribosomal RNA (523 nucleotides) under uncultured bacterium. Its description in RNAcentral is "bacterial SSU rRNA". It matches the Rfam family "Bacterial small subunit ribosomal RNA", at positions 38 to 561 of the family's 1533-position model. The record is from RNAcentral.